Molecule: ribosomal RNA, 459 nt
Filed under: uncultured bacterium
Lineage: Bacteria
Description: partial 16S ribosomal RNA
Rfam family: Bacterial small subunit ribosomal RNA
Source: RNAcentral
CCUACGGGAGACAGCAGUGAGGAAUAUUGGUCAAUGGGCGCGAGCCUGAACCAGCCAAGUCGCGUGAGGGAAGACGGUCCUAUGGAUUGUAAACCUCUUUUGUCGGGGAGCAAAAGACGCCACGCGUGGCGUUCCGAGAGUACCCGAAGAAAAAGCAUCGGCAAACUCCGUGCCAGCAGCCGCGGUAAUACGGAGGAUGCGAGCGUUAUCCGGAUUUAUUGGGUUUAAAGGGUGCGCAGGCGGAAGAUCAAGUCAGCGGUAAAAUUGAGAGGCUCAACCUCUUCGAGCCGUUGAAACUGGUUUUCUUGGGUGAGCGAGGAGUAUGCGGAAUGCGUGGUGUAGCGGGGAAAUGCAUGGAUAUCACGCAGAACUCCGAUUGCGAAGGCAGCAUACCGGCGCUCAACUGACGCUCAUGCACGAAAGUGUGGGUAUCGAACAGGAUUAGAUACCCGAGUAGUC